GCUUACGGCCACACCGCCUGGGCCCACGCCCGAUCUCGUUUGAUCUCGGAAGCUAAGAUAGGGUGGGCCUGGUUAGUACUUGGAUGGGAGACCGCCUGGGAAUACCAGGUGCUUGUAAGAU
Molecule: ribosomal RNA, 121 nt
Organism: Scophthalmus maximus (turbot)
Lineage: Eukaryota; Metazoa; Chordata; Actinopteri; Pleuronectiformes; Scophthalmidae
Source: Ensembl